RNAcentral lists this ribosomal RNA (497 nucleotides) under uncultured bacterium. RNAcentral describes it as "partial 16S ribosomal RNA". It matches the Rfam family "Bacterial small subunit ribosomal RNA", at positions 28 to 507 of the family's 1533-position model. The record is from RNAcentral.
GAUGAACGCUGGCGGCGUGCCUAAUACAUGCAAGUCGAGCGAACAGAUAAGGAGCUUGCUCCUUUGACGUUAGCGGCGGACGGGUGAGUAACACGUGGGUAACCUACCUAUAAGACUGGGAUAACUUCGGGAAACCGGAGCUAAUACCGGAUAAUAUUUCGAACCGCAUGGUUCGAUAGUGAAAGAUGGUUUUGCUAUCACUUAUAGAUGGACCCGCGCCGUAUUAGCUAGUUGGUAAGGUAACGGCUUACCAAGGCGACGAUACGUAGCCGACCUGAGAGGGUGGUCGGCCACACUGGAACUGAGACACGGUCCAGACUCCUACGGGAGGCAGCAGUAGGGAAUCUUCCGCAAUGGGCGAAAGCCUGACGGAGCAACGCCGCGUGAGUGAUGAAGGUCUUCGGAUCGUAAAACUCUGUUAUUAGGGAAGAACAUACGUGUAAGUAACUGUGCACGUCUUGACGGUACCUAAUCAGAAAGCCACGGCUAACUACGUG